GUAAAAAAUUACAGUUUUGUCUGGUUCGACGGCCCGUUUUUAUUUGAAAAAAACGGAGGUCUAAAUGAUCUUAUAACAUUGUACAUUGAAACAAAGGUAGAAAAACAGAGAUAACCAUUUCAUCGAGCGAAUAUCACAUUGGAUUUUUAAGGACAUUCAACAAUUGCCAUUGUGUUGUGAUAUGUUAACGGUGUGCCCUUCGCCUUUAUUACUAUAAAAGUUUGAGUCUAAAACUUUGAGAUGGGGUGUAUUUGGUGUGUUUUAUGGUUCUUAGCUUUAAUCUUAGCGGGAAUUUGGGUUUCUCAAAUCUGUUCUUGCUGGUAUGUUUGUUGUUACGUGUUGUUACAGUGCUUUUCUGGUUUAGAGAAUAUUGUGGAAUUCACCCUAAAAGGAGCAAAAUUUGCUGGAUUUUGUACUGA
This is a long non-coding RNA of Chrysoperla carnea, 419 nucleotides long. RefSeq lists it as uncharacterized. The transcript has 4 exons. The record is from RefSeq and is a predicted model, not a curated record. Lineage: Eukaryota; Metazoa; Arthropoda; Insecta; Neuroptera; Chrysopidae.